This 257-nucleotide long non-coding RNA is filed under the name Dunaliella salina. RNAcentral describes it as "long non-coding RNA (DSAL_LNC000445)". Lineage: Eukaryota; Viridiplantae; Chlorophyta; Chlorophyceae; Chlamydomonadales; Dunaliellaceae. The record is from RNAcentral.
CCUGCCUAGGAAGGGCCAGCAUGCUGCCAGCUGCAGGUCAAGGUGCACUAAGACGCGCCCACGUGGCUAGGCAUGUGCUUUUCAUGCAUGUUUUCAGUUUUUGGACUGUAUGAUAGUGCCCUUCCGUUCUUUUUGUCCAACUGUGGACAUCCAACUGUAACCAGGUCUAGCAAGUAAUGUAUCUCCAAGGAUUCACUUGCAAGUGAACAAUUGUGGUCAUAACAGUUAAUUGACAUCCUCUUAAAGGUAACCACUUG